CACGAGAAGGACUAACGGUUCUGCCAACGCAGUUCGUUUGUCAAGGGAACAACUUUUGAUUGAAAAGCUCGCAAGAUCUUUUGGAGUGAACGGGGUUCAGAAAGAGGCACUCGUCAUACUUCCGCAAUUAUAUUUAUCGCUGUGAAAGUUAUAUUUGUUUAUCUGUGCAGACAAUAGAUGAAGAAGGACAUUCUGAAAGCGGAAGAUGCACCCCGCGUGAAGGCACUUUUAAAAGCAUCCUUUAUCAUGAGGAGCACGUCACCAGUGGCGGUAUUACCGGCUUAUCUCCUAAACGAAGAACUGCUUGCCUUUGAAAGUGAACUGAGAUUUUCAAGCACUAUGGAGGAGAAUGUCAAGCGCCUCAGCAAAAUUCUGCUUGCAGUGGCGACAGUGUCGUCCUUAGCGGACCCAUCGUACACAGAGGUGGAUGCGUACCUGAGGCCAAGGCUCGCAAAAUGGCCCUAAUUUCAGAGGUUUCACCCGCGGACAUUAUUGGCCCGUGCAUUGUGUGGGGCGACAUGGAGGAGCUUGUAUGCGGCAAAGAGCCCAGCAAAACCAUGAAGCUACAGCCGAACACGUCGCUAGAAAAAGCACUGGUGCUUUGUUUGUGUGUGUACUACGACAAGGACCUUGCGUAUCCGGCGGCUUUUGGCCAGUUGCUUGGCUUCCUUCAAGCAGCCGUUAAACGUGCCGGCAUCGAUGAAAUUCCAUGGGCGCAGAAAGGGCUACGGGAUUUGUUCACGAAACUACACUUCGUUUGAGUUAAGUACACAUCAAAGUUUAUGUGCUGCUUAAAGAGACAUCCAAAAUUCAUCUAGCGCCUAUUUUACAGUUCCUGUGUGUUUUUUUUUCUUGGAUUGCUCUUCCAUAAAAAGAAACGUUUUUGUAAGUUAUGGUCAAUAAAAGUUUUACUCAA
Long non-coding RNA from Rhipicephalus sanguineus (brown dog tick), 916 nucleotides. RefSeq lists it as uncharacterized. The transcript has 3 exons. Lineage: Eukaryota; Metazoa; Arthropoda; Arachnida; Ixodida; Ixodidae. The record is from RefSeq and is a predicted model, not a curated record.